GUCUCCGUGGCGCAAUAGGCUAGCGCGUCUGACUGUUAUGCUCAAGAGCUGUGUUAUCAGGAGGUUGGAAGUUCGAGCCUUCCCGGGGACG
RNAcentral lists this transfer RNA (91 nucleotides) under Aspergillus cristatus. It matches the Rfam family "tRNA". From Rfam's summary of the family: Transfer RNA (tRNA) molecules are approximately 80 nucleotides in length. Their secondary structure includes four short double-helical elements and three loops (D, anti-codon, and T loops). Lineage: Eukaryota; Fungi; Ascomycota; Eurotiomycetes; Eurotiales; Aspergillaceae. The record is from Rfam by way of RNAcentral.